RNAcentral lists this ribosomal RNA (429 nucleotides) under Bacteroidota bacterium. RNAcentral describes it as "Bacteroidetes bacterium partial 16S ribosomal RNA". It matches the Rfam family "Bacterial small subunit ribosomal RNA", at positions 355 to 776 of the family's 1533-position model. Lineage: Bacteria; Pseudomonadati; Bacteroidota. The record is from RNAcentral.
UAGGGAAUCUUCCGCAAUGGACGCAAGUCUGACGGAGCAACGCCGCGUGAGUGAAGAAGGAUUUCGGUUCGUAAAACUCUGUUGUUAGAGAAGAACAGCGCAUAGAGUAACUGUUAUGCGUGUGACGGUAUCUAACCAGAAAGCCACGGCUAACUACGUGCCAGCAGCCGCGGUAAUACGUAGGUGGCAAGCGUUGUCCGGAUUUAUUGGGCGUAAAGCGAGCGCAGGCGGUCAAUUAAGUCUGAUGUGAAAGCCCCCGGCUCAACCGGGGAGGAUCAUUGGAAACUGGUUGACUUGAGUGCAGAAGAGGAGAGUGGAAUUCCAUGUGUAGCGGUGAAAUGCGUAGAUAUAUGGAGGAACACCAGUGGCGAAGGCGACUCUCUGGUCUGUAACUGACGCUGAGGCUCGAAAGCGUGGGUAGCAAACAGG